AUACGGGGGGGGCAAGCGUUGUUCGGAAUUACUGGGCGUAAAGGGCUCGUAGGCGGCCAUCCAAGUCGGACGUGAAAUCCCUCGGCUUAACCGGGGAACUGCGUCCGAGACUGGUUGGCUUGAAGCCGGGAGAGGGAUGCGGAAUUCCAGGUGUAGCGGUGAAAUGCGUAGAUAUCAGGAGGAACACCGGUGGCGAAGGCGGCAUCCUGGACCGGUCUUGACGCUGAGGAGCGAAAGCUAGGGGAGCAAACGGGAUUAGAAACCCCUGUAGUCC
RNAcentral lists this ribosomal RNA (274 nucleotides) under uncultured bacterium. RNAcentral describes it as "partial 16S ribosomal RNA". It matches the Rfam family "Bacterial small subunit ribosomal RNA", at positions 523 to 796 of the family's 1533-position model. The record is from RNAcentral.